CAGGAAUAAUAAGUGUGAAGUUUGAUUUUCUCCCUUCUGUAAUAAGCAGCCAAUGAGUUUUUUGCGACCCGGAAACAACUUUGAAGACGACGACCACAAAAUGGUGGAGACUCAUUGACCGUGUGCGAGAGCAUCAAAACGACUGCAGGUGACUGCCGACUGACUCAUCGACAAAAUCACAUUUCAUCAUAAAUAACGACUCAUUAAUAUUUGUAGGUCAGUCACAGUUUACCCAUAAUACGGGUUUGAUCCUCUUGAACACGGACAAUGUCUUACGUCAGAAAGCACGAGGAGCGUCACUCUUCUUGAAGUGAGACAAUAUGCACCCGAUGUAUCAAAAACAACUGGGAACUCGGAAAAAUACUAUUUCCGACUUCAGUGCAUUCACGACAACUGAGAACUCGGGAAAAAACGAGCUCCAACCUGAAAAAAAUCACUUUGAACCGUAAUCCCACUCGGAAUUCCAUGUCGGCAACCCAGGCCUCUUUCUAGAGCUCAGACUUUGAGACCUGAAGAUCACUGACGUCGAAUUUCCCAGAUGUAAUGAAAGCACAAAAAUGUACAGUACAUUAUGGGUUUGAACCUCUCGACACGUGCUUACAUGGACCUGUGUGUCAAGAUUUGGAUUGUAUGACUUAAUUUGCCUUUGACGUUUUAUUUUGAUUGUAUGACAAAAACAUUUUUGAAAAAAGGGCAUUUUACGUUAUACAAUCAAAAUGUAACUCUUGAGAUCAUAAACAGUCCCCAGCUCAGGCCUUUACCUUACGACCUCGGCACUCCAGUCAAGCCCCAUGGGGGAAAGAUGAGGCCAAGAGGGUGUCACUUCUUGAGAUGCAAAACAAUAUUUUAGUGCUUUUGACAGCAAAGAUAGAUGAAAGGGCAAAUGGCUUGGAGGUCAUGGUUAGGGAGAAUACAAUGAAAAUUGAGGACAUUAAAAGUGGAAGUUAUCUGCCAGGAAAAUGAAAAGGUGGCUGAACUCGAGCAAAAGGUGAAUGAGGCGGAGAGACACCAGCGCAGGUGGAACCUGAGGCUCCAUGGAAAUCCAGAGCAGGCGGGUGAGGACAUCAAAUGCAGAGUUGUUGACAUCUGUGGAGCUGUCAUUCCCAAAUCAAAAGCCAAACUUCAGGAAAAUGUAGACAGCGUCCAUCGUUUGGGAAGACUUAAGGAUCAAGACAAGAGACAGAGGACAACCGUCAUCUGGUUCACCAACAGAUCUACACGGGAUCUUCUUUGGAGGCGAGCGAAGAAUUGAGAAUUCCUCAUCAAGCAAAAAAUUUAGGUUCACGGAGGAUCUGACCUCAGCAGACAAAGUGACAAGAGAGAAACUGUGGUCGAUGGUGGCUGCAGCUCGAAAGGCAGGGAAAACUGCCUUUUUAAAAAUGUAUUUUUUAUUUUUUUAAAUCGGUGCAAGAGUGAUCAUCGAUGGGAAAGAAAUGUGGCCAAAUCAGAACAUUUGAGUGAGAGCCAGAGUCUAACUCGGACAGAACGGUCAGGCCAAGAAAAACGAUUACCAGGUGAAAAGCAGCCUUUUAUUAUAAAAAUGUACACAAACAUUUGAAUGAGAAAAGGCUGACCUGAGAACUGGUAAGCUAAACACUAACUAUAGGUGAAUAACUGCUUAUUGUAAAGUCUACGCAAUGUCUCCCCCUUGUGGGAUUUUUUAAUUUUUAUUUCACCUUUAUUUAACCAGGUAGGCUAGUUGAGAACAAGUUCUCAUUUGCAACUGCGACCUGGCCAAGUAAGAAUACUUUGGUAACUUUAUGACCAUUUUUGUUGUUUUUUGUUGUUGGAGAGGUUAAUAAUGGGAUGGAAAUCCUUUUGAGUUACAUAUCCGUAGGAAAAACUUAUAUUAGCAUAACAAGGUUGUUGGUUGAAGUUUGUUUUUAUCUCUUUGUUCAAUUCAUGUCAGGGGUAUUCAUAAUUUACUCAAGCGUUAAGGCUAUUUUCUUGUAUUGCAAACAGUUUAAUCCAGACUUUUAUUUACAAGAGACUCAUGCUUGUUCUUCCGAUCUUUCUUUUUGGAAAAAAAUCAAUGGGGUAAUGAUAUCUGGUUAUCAUAUGGCAACAACCACUUUGCAGGUGUAGCAGUUUUAAGAGGUGCAUUUAAAGGGAAGGUCAUCAGUAGUAAGACUCACCACUCUGGACUUUGGUUAAUUUUAACAGUACAUUUCAACAGUGAAAUCUUUUUAUUAGGGAAUAUUUAUGCAUCCAACAACAAACAAAACAGGAUAUUAUUUCAAGAAUUUGAAGAAAUUAAUAGAGUUAUAGGUGUAUUUCAGGAUAUCAAAAUUAUCUUAGGUGGAGAUUUUAAUUCUGUAUCUAAUGUGAUGAUUGACAGAUAUCCCCCUCCUAACGGAUCCAGCAUAGUCAAUCCUGAGUUUAAUAACCUAUGUCUUGGAUUAGUAGAUAUUUGGACAUCUAAAUAUCCUGAUUAAAAGGAAUUCACUUGGAGUAACAAGGACAUGUCUAGACAGUCAAGAAUUGACUUCUGGUUGAUUUCUAAUUCAUUAGAUAAUUCUGUAGUCAAGGUAUCAAUUGAACCAUCAAUUCUUACUGAUCAUGAAGUUAUAUUCUUAUCUUUAAAUAUGAAUGGAUCUGAAGUUAAACCGAAUCGCAGUUAUUGGAAACUCAAUAGUAGACUGUUGGAAGACAAUUGGAGGAAAGCCCAACUAUUUAAGUCUUAUGGGGAAUGAAUGAAUUAUGAAAGAAGACAAACAGCCACGAAGAGAGGUAAAGAAAUUGCUGAACUUAAAAGAUUGAGGGAAGAUAAACUUGUUUCGGAAAUAUUUUCUCUAAUCUCUAUGGAGGACCUUUAUGAAGAAGGAAAGGGUCUGUUAUUCUCUUUACAACUAGAAAUGGACCAAAUGUAUGAAGAGAAGGCAAAAGCGGCAUUUGUAAGAUCAAGAAGGAGAUGGUUGGAGGAAGGUGAAAAACAUACAAAAUGCUUUUACAAUUUAGAAAGAAAGAAUUCUGAAUCUAUUCAUAAGCUCAAUAUAGAUGGCAAAGAAAAUGAAAACCCCAAAAGAUAUUUCAAAAUUUGUUUCAGAAUUCUAUGGUGACCUUUAUACCAGUAAUGCCUGUCCUACUAGUGACAUAUGACUUUCUAGACUCUGUCAAAGACUGCAAAAUUCAUAGAUGAAGACUUCCAAAAGUCUUGUGAUGAAAUUAUUUCUAUUAAUGAAAUAAAACAAUGUAUCAGCAAGUUAAGAGAACAAAUCUCCAGGGAAUGAUGGCAUUAUCAGUGAAUUCUAUAAGUAUUUUCAGGAGGAUAUUAUUGAAUUUAUAUUUAAUGUUUUUAAGGAGGCAAUUGAUUUAGGGGUCCUGCCUGUUUCUAUGACACAGGGCCUAAUUUCUGUAAUACCCAAACCAAACAAAGAUUCUAUGAUGUUAUAGAAAAUUGGAGACCGAUCACAUGAAUGAACAAUGAUGAAAAGAUACUUGCAUCCAUCUUUGCAGAAAGACUUAAAGAAGGUCUUGACCAAAUCAUUGACGAUACCCAGUUUGGUUUUAUGAAGGGCAGACAUAUGUAAUAAUAUUCGACUAGUAUUGGACUUGAUAGACUACAAUGAGCACAUUAUGGAAGAUGUCUACAAAUAAAAUAAAGCUUUUUACAAGGCA
Molecule: long non-coding RNA, 3618 nt
Organism: Oncorhynchus tshawytscha (Chinook salmon)
Lineage: Eukaryota; Metazoa; Chordata; Actinopteri; Salmoniformes; Salmonidae
Exons: 2
Source: RefSeq, a predicted model, not a curated record